Molecule: ribosomal RNA, 504 nt
Filed under: uncultured bacterium
Lineage: Bacteria
Description: partial 16S ribosomal RNA
Rfam family: Bacterial small subunit ribosomal RNA
Source: RNAcentral
GACGAACGCUGGCGGCGUGCCUAAUACAUGCAAGUAGAACGCACAGUUUAUACCGUAGCUUGCUACACCAUAGACUGUGAGUUGCGAACGGGUGAGUAACGCGUAGGUAACCUGCCUGGUAGCGGGGGAUAACUAUUGGAAACGAUAGCUAAUACCGCAUAAUAUUAAUUAUUGCAUGAUAAUUAAUUGAAAGGUGCAAUUGCACCACUACCAGAUGGACCUGCGUUGUAUUAGCUAGUAGGUGAGGUAACGGCUCACCUAGGCGACGAUACAUAGCCGGCCUGAGAGGGUGAUCGGCCACACUGGGACUGAGACACGGCCCAGACUCCUACGGGAGGCAGCAGUAGGGAAUCUUCGGCAAUGGACGAAAGUCUGACCGAGCAACGCCGCGUGAGUGAAGAAGGUUUUCGGAUCGUAAAGCUCUGUUGUAAGAGAAGAACGGGUGUGAGAGUGGAAAGUUCACACUGUGACGGUAUCUUACCAGAAAGGGACGGCUAACUACGU